This 739-nucleotide ribosomal RNA is filed under the name uncultured Staphylococcus sp. Its description in RNAcentral is "bacterial SSU rRNA". It matches the Rfam family "Bacterial small subunit ribosomal RNA", at positions 60 to 781 of the family's 1533-position model. The record is from RNAcentral. Lineage: Bacteria; Bacillati; Bacillota; Bacilli; Caryophanales; Staphylococcaceae.
AGUCGAGCGAACAGACGAGGAGCUUGCUCCUCUGACGUUAGCGGCGGACGGGUGAGUAACACGUGGAUAACCUACCUAUAAGACUGGGAUAACUUCGGGAAACCGGAGCUAAUACCGGAUAAUAUAUUGAACCGCAUGGUUCAAUAGUGAAAGACGGUUUUGCUGUCACUUAUAGAUGGAUCCGCGCCGCAUUAGCUAGUUGGUAAGGUAACGGCUUACCAAGGCAACGAUGCGUAGCCGACCUGAGAGGGUGAUCGGCCACACUGGAACUGAGACACGGUCCAGACUCCUACGGGAGGCAGCAGUAGGGAAUCUUCCGCAAUGGGCGAAAGCCUGACGGAGCAACGCCGCGUGAGUGAUGAAGGUCUUCGGAUCGUAAAACUCUGUUAUUAGGGAAGAACAAAUGUGUAAGUAACUAUGCACGUCUUGACGGUACCUAAUCAGAAAGCCACGGCUAACUACGUGCCAGCAGCCGCGGUAAUACGUAGGUGGCAAGCGUUAUCCGGAAUUAUUGGGCGUAAAGCGCGCGUAGGCGGUUUUUUAAGUCUGAUGUGAAAGCCCACGGCUCAACCGUGGAGGGUCAUUGGAAACUGGAAAACUUGAGUGCAGAAGAGGAAAGUGGAAUUCCAUGUGUAGCGGUGCAAUGCGCAGAGAUAUGGAGGAACACCAGUGGCGAAGGCGACUUUCUGGUCUGUAACCGACGCUGAUGUGCGAAAGCGUGGGGAUCAAACAGGAUUAG